UUAAGCCCUAAGGGCAUUUUGGUCAUUUGACCCCUAAUUACUAUGUUUGGAAAAUGUGAUUUUUGAGGAAAUGAAAUGUUAAUUUCUGGUGGUUUUCCCCUCUCAACCGAACCCUCUCAUCCUCUCUAACCCUCUUCUUCUUCAAACUUGAUUUUUGAGAAGAAAGCUUGAUUUUUAGCUUGGUUUGGAAGCUUGAUUUGUGUUGGAAGCUUGGAGCUUGUUUGAGCAAGAGAUUGAGAUUGUGUGACUAGGAUUACCGGCACCUGGUCAGGAGGACCCGGGGAUUCAGAAUCUCUGCCUUUGCGGGACAACAGGAAAGGGUAGGACUUAUGCUGAUCAGCCAUGAGUGCAGGAGCUGGACGAAGAAUGUACAUGUCCGGGCCAUAUCAGACCAAGCGGGUUAAGGGUCUAUCAGUGAUGAACUUUUGAAUUCUAUUUUGCCGUUUAGGUCAGCUAGAAAUAAAUAACUUGUAAUAGCGUUUGUAAAUAUUUUUUGGGAUCCCAACUAUUUUAAAAGUUUAAAUAUAUUACAAGUUUAUUUUCAUUCU
Molecule: long non-coding RNA, 548 nt
Organism: Cannabis sativa
Lineage: Eukaryota; Viridiplantae; Streptophyta; Magnoliopsida; Rosales; Cannabaceae
Exons: 3
Source: RefSeq, a predicted model, not a curated record